UCUCAGUUCAGAUUGCAGGCUGCAACUCGCCUGCAUGAAGUCGGAAUUGCUAGUAAUCGCAGAUCAGCAUGCUGCGGUGAAUACGUUCCCGGGCCUUGUACACACCGCCCGUCACACCAUGGGAGUCGGUAACACCCGAAGUCGGUAGCCUAACCGUAAGGAGGGCGCCGCCGAAGGUGGGAUUGAUGACUGGGGUGAAGUCGUAACAAGGUAAC
Molecule: ribosomal RNA, 215 nt
Filed under: uncultured bacterium
Lineage: Bacteria
Description: partial 16S ribosomal RNA
Rfam family: Bacterial small subunit ribosomal RNA
Source: RNAcentral